UACGUAGGGGGCAAGCGUUGUCCGGAACCAUUGGGCGUAAAGAGCGUGUAGGCGGCUCGAUAAGUCUGCUGUGAAAGUCCAGGGCUCAACCCUGGAAGGCCGGUGGAAACUGUCGGGCUAGAGUCCGGAAGAGGCGAGUGGAAUUCCCGGUGUAGCGGUGAAAUGCGCAGAUAUCGGGAGGAACACCAAUGGCGAAGGCAGCUCGCUGGGACGGUACUGACGCUGAGACGCGAAAGCGUGGGGAGCAAACAGG
RNAcentral lists this ribosomal RNA (253 nucleotides) under uncultured bacterium. Its description in RNAcentral is "partial 16S ribosomal RNA". It matches the Rfam family "Bacterial small subunit ribosomal RNA", at positions 524 to 776 of the family's 1533-position model. The record is from RNAcentral.